GACCACGUGACUUCACUCCAACAACAACAACAACAAUGGCCGCCAUGUUCCCGGCUCCAGCUCCCUGACGACCGUAACAUGGCAACUACAUCCCCAUCCAUCCAUUAACUACAUCUCAACCUGUAAUCAUCCACCCUUUGAGCCUUCUUCACCUUCUCCUUGCUUACUAAUGCUGCUAUAUUUUUUUUAAAUCCUUCGACUCACCACGCAGUGUUUCCCCGCUCGCUAUCGCCAUGGAGACCACAACAGCAUGAGUCACCAGCCAGGUCUUCCUCGCUAUAAUGAGUCAACAUGAGUACAUCCCGCCCGCUGAAUUACAAUCAUGUCCUAACCGUACUUCCGGGCUGCCGAUGACGUCACAGCGCGCCCAAGUCGUGACAGGAGCGGGACUUCUGCCUCAGCAUCCGGCCCACGUCGCGCUCGCGCUGGUACCGAGGAACCAGGCUGGACAGGAAGCGCUUGGCCCGCGAGGUGAUGCUCUCCCGCUGGCCUCCUCCGCUCAUGUCCUCCGGGCUGGUCCCCGGGGCCCACGGAGGCUGGCCCCGCGCUAACCGCACGACGCACUCCAGGAGCUCCUGAGUGCGGUGGUCCAGAGAGGCCGAAAUCUCCAGGUAGAGACAGUUGAAGAGUGCGGCGCUCGACAUGGCCUCUGUGGGACGACGCAGACACGGGAUUGGGGUUUUAACCAGCAGGGAGACAUAUUUGGUGAUGUUAGCCUAAUGUGCCGCAGGUUAAAACACAAUAACAACGGUCACAGGUGCUGUUCCACUCCGGUCCUGUAAGUGGCGGUAAUGUGCAUUAGAUUGUAGUGGACAACUGACACACAAAUGAAACAAAUCAUGGACUCCAUUUACAAAUGUUUUUUAGAGCCACACUUAAAACACUGCUGGACUCUAGAAAGAGGAUCCGCAGCCUCCGUAGCAGAACCUCCAGGUUCUGUAACAGCUUCUUCCCUCAGGCCAUAAAGACUCUUGAACGCAUCAUAAUAAUCCCAUCAAUUCCCCCCCAAAACGGAUUAACUCGCUGGACUAUAAAGACAAUAUAACAUACCGUAUUUUUCGGACUAUAAGUCGCAGUUUUUUUCAUAGUUUGGCCGGGGGUGCGACUUAUACUCAGGAGCGACUUAUGUGUGAAAUUAUUAACACAUUACCGUAAAAUAUCAAAUAAUAUUAUUUAGCUCAUUCACAUAAGAGACUAGACCAGGGGUCGGCAACCCGCGGCUCUAGAGCCGCAUGUGGCUCUUUAGCGCCGCCCUAGUGGCUCUCUGAAGCUUUUUCAAAAAUGUAUGAAAAAUGGAAAAAGAUGAGGGGGAAAAAAACUUUUUUGUUUGUUUUAGUAUGGUUUCUGUGGGAGGACAAACAUGACACAAACCUCCCUAAUUGUUAUAAAGCACACUGUUUGUAUUAAACAUGCUUCACUGAUUCGAGUAUUUGGCGAGCACCGUUUUGUCCUACUAAUUUUGGCGGUCCUUGAACUCACCUUUAGUUUGUUUCCAUGUAUAACUUUCUCCGACUUCCUAGGACGUGUUUCAUGCCACUUCUUUUUCUGUCUCAUUUUGUCCACCAAACUGUUAACGUUGUGCGUGAAUACACAAAGUUUCGUAAAAUCCCCAAAACUGUCUCCACGGAGUCUGUUUAGCUGAUUGGAGAGCAAGCAUCCGCAGCUCGUGGAUCCACGACGAUGACUUCUGUUUAGUUUGAUCAGACAUUUUACUGCCGUGAGACAGGCGCUGUUUGAAAGCAAUUAAGGGUCAUUGUCCUGUUGGAACACCCAACUGCGCCCAAGACCCAACCUCUGGGCCAGUGGUUCUUGACCUGGGUUCGAUCGAACCCUAGGGGUUCGGUGAGUCGGGUUCGGCGGAGGUCAAGACACUCCUGACUCAUCGUGUAAAUAAAACCUUCUCCCUAUCGGCAUAAUACGGAUACGGCAACAGCAGAAGUCAGACUGAUUCACAGCCAGCUCCUGUUUUCCCUCGGCCUUGAUGUGAUCAUGUUGCCUGGUAACGGCCCAAAGAGCGACGAGGAAAGAGGAGGAUGUGUUGCGGUGCUUCCCGUGUGAUGAUGAUGAGGAUGAUGAUGGUGGUGGUGGCGGCGUUUGCAUCAUCUGCAGGAUGAUGACUUCCUCUUUAAAAAGGGGAUCACACCAGCUCACUGUGACCCGGUCCUGUGUUGAAGCAGUCUGUGGACGACAACAUCGGCUUUAAAUGACAGGAUCCGUCUCUGCAUCUCCGUCCUCCUCUGCCGUGACACAAAGAAGAAGGAUGAAAACGUUUAGAAACAUUUACAAUUCCACGCCGUGAUGUUUAGAAUAGAAAGGACUUUAUUGAUCCCUGGGGGAAAUUCAACACCACAGUUCGCUCAUAAUAAACAAUAAACUCUUUGGUAUUCACAUAUCAAGGAAAAUAUCCAAAAAUAUACAGAUGGUAAAAAAAGAUAUGUAAUAGCGUACACUCGAAGUGUCCCCUCACUUUCCUUCCGGUGCAACAACAGCAGUGCAAGUAGCCUUGUACAUGUGAAUUAUAUAAAUAAGGCUAUGGAAUUGAAUAGAAUUGUCCUAUCACUAUUUUUCUGGUGCAAAAAGACAGCAGUGCAAGUAGCAUUUUCUUCCGCUUAUCCGAGGUCGGGUCGCGGGGGCAGCAGCCUAAGCAGAGAAGCCCAGACUUCCCUCUCCCCAGCCACUUCGUCCAACUCCUACUGGGGGAUCCCGAGGCGUUCCCAGGCCAGCCGGGAGACAUAGUCUUCCCAACGUGUCCUGGGUCUUCCCUGGGUCGGACGUGCCCCAAACACCUCCCUAGGGAGGCGUUCGUGGUGGCAUCCUGACCAGAUGCCCGAACCACCUCAUCUGGCUCCUCUCCAUGUGGAGGAGCAGUGGCUUUACUCUGAGCUCCUCCCGGGUGACAGAGCUUCUCACCCUAUCUCUAAGGGAGAGCCCCGCCACCCGGCGGAGGAAACUCAUUUCGGCCGCUUGUA
This is a long non-coding RNA of Entelurus aequoreus (snake pipefish), 2969 nucleotides long. RefSeq lists it as uncharacterized. The record is from RefSeq and is a predicted model, not a curated record. The transcript is spliced from 7 exons. NCBI's taxonomy places the organism in Eukaryota, Metazoa, Chordata, Actinopteri, Syngnathiformes, Syngnathidae.